RNAcentral lists this ribosomal RNA (327 nucleotides) under uncultured eukaryote. RNAcentral describes it as "partial 18S ribosomal RNA". It matches the Rfam family "Eukaryotic small subunit ribosomal RNA", at positions 1470 to 1796 of the family's 1831-position model. The record is from RNAcentral.
CCCUUAGAUGUUCUGGGCCGCACACGCGCUACACUGAAGGAGGCAGCGUGUACUCCUGGAUCGAAAGAUUUGGGUAACCCGCGAAUCUCCUUCGUGCUAGGGAUUGAGGUUUGCAAUUAUCCUUCAUGAACGAGGAAUUCCCAGUAAGUGCAAGUCAUAAGCUUGCGCUGGCUACGUCCCUGCCCUUUGUACACACCGCCCGUCGCUACUACCGAUUGAAUGAUUUAGUGAGGACUUCGGACUGGGACCGAUGCGGCUUUCGGGCUGCGUCGGUAUUCUGGAAAGAUGUCCAAACUGUAUCAUUUAGAGGAAGUAAAANUCGUANCA